Molecule: ribosomal RNA, 440 nt
Filed under: uncultured bacterium
Lineage: Bacteria
Description: partial 16S ribosomal RNA
Rfam family: Bacterial small subunit ribosomal RNA
Source: RNAcentral
CCUACGGGUGGCAGCAGUGGGGAAUAUUGCACAAUGGGGGAAACUCUGAUGCAGCGACGCCGCGUGAAGGAAGACGUAUCUCGGUAUGUAAACUUUUAUUAACAGGGAAGAAAAUGACGGUACCUGACUAAGAAGCUCCGGCUAACUAAGUGCCAGCAGCCGCGGUAAUACGUAGGGGGCAAGCGUUAUCCGGAUUUACUGGGUGUAAAGGGAGCGUAGGCGGUUUAGCAAGUCAGAAGUGAAAGCUCGGGGCUCAAUUGCAGGACUGCUUUUGAAACUGUUGAACUGGAUUGCAGGAGAGGUGCGUGGAAUUCGUGGUGUCGCGGUGAAAUGCGCAGAUAUUAGGAAGAACACCAGUGGCGAAGGCGGCUUACUGGACUGUGAAUGACGCUGAGGCUCGAAAGCGUGGGGAGCAAACAGGAUUAGAUACCCGUGUAGUC